This 253-nucleotide ribosomal RNA is filed under the name uncultured bacterium. RNAcentral describes it as "partial 16S ribosomal RNA". It matches the Rfam family "Bacterial small subunit ribosomal RNA", at positions 524 to 776 of the family's 1533-position model. The record is from RNAcentral.
GACAGAGUGUGCAAGCGUUAAUCGGAAUUACUGGGCGUAAAGCGUGCGCAGGCGGUUAUGUAAGACAGCUGUGAAAUGCCCGGGCUUAACCUGGGAACUGCAUUUGUGACUGCAUGGCUAGAGUUUGGCAGAGGGGGGUAGAAUUCCACGUGUAGCAGUGAAAUGCGUAGAUAUGUGGAGGAACACCGAUGGCGAAGGCAGCCCCCUGGGUCAAGACUGACGCUCAUGCACGAAAGCGUGGGGAGCAAACAGG